RNAcentral lists this transfer RNA (87 nucleotides) under Candidatus Harrisonbacteria bacterium CG10_big_fil_rev_8_21_14_0_10_45_28. Its description in RNAcentral is "tRNA-Ser". It matches the Rfam family "tRNA". From Rfam's summary of the family: Transfer RNA (tRNA) molecules are approximately 80 nucleotides in length. Their secondary structure includes four short double-helical elements and three loops (D, anti-codon, and T loops). Lineage: Bacteria; Candidatus Harrisoniibacteriota. The record is from RNAcentral.
GGAGGCGUGGCAGAGUGGUUGAAUGUACCGCUUUCGAAAAGCGGCAGGCCUGAAAGGGUCUCGGAGGUUCGAAUCCUCCCGCCUCCG